RNAcentral lists this ribosomal RNA (653 nucleotides) under uncultured bacterium. RNAcentral's name for it is "bacterial SSU rRNA". The stretch from base 1 to 547 matches the Rfam family "Bacterial small subunit ribosomal RNA", at positions 338 to 873 of the family's 1533-position model. The record is from RNAcentral.
CCUACGGGAGGCAGCAGUGGGGAAUAUUGGACAAUGGGCGGAAGCCUGAUCCAGCCAUGCCGCGUGUGUGAAGAAGGCCUUUUGGUUGUAAAGCACUUUAAGCGAGGAGGAGGCUACUAGUACUAAUACUACUGGAUAGUGGACGUUACUCGCAGAAUAAGCACCGGCUAACUCUGUGCCAGCAGCCGCGGUAAUACAGAGGGUGCGAGCGUUAAUCGGAUUUACUGGGCGUAAAGCGUGCGUAGGCGGCUUUUUAAGUCGGAUGUGAAAUCCCCGAGCUUAACUUGGGAAUUGCAUUCGAUACUGGGAAGCUAGAGUAUGGGAGAGGAUGGUAGAAUUCCAGGUGUAGCGGUGAAAUGCGUAGAGAUCUGGAGGAAUACCGAUGGCGAAGGCAGCCAUCUGGCCUAAUACUGACGCUGAGGUACGAAAGCAUGGGGAGCAAACAGGAUUAGAUACCCUGGUAGUCCAUGCCGUAAACGAUGUCUACUAGCCGUUGGGGCCUUUGAGGUCUUUAGUGGCGCGNGCGUACGACGAUAAGUAGACCGCCGUCGGGAGGUACGGUCGGCGAGAACGUAAACCGUAACGAAAGUAGAAGUUAGUACGGACGUAGAGGACGUUGGCCGACGGACGGACCGACGACGGGGAGGGUAGGG